CACCAAGUGUCAAUUCAAAGGUGUGGAAAGGAAACAAGACUGACAGUUUGUGGGGGAAGGGGCCAACUGGGAGUGGCAGUUGGGUCUUGUGACUGGCACUUCCUUCCUGCGGGGAGCGGGGGAUGGGCUGCCUGGUGUUGGGGGAGAGAGGACCUUGUUCAGCCUGUCUGAAGUGGCAUGCUUUUCUUGAUUCAGCCGGAAGAUUCAGGCUCAGUCGCUUCUGAAGAAAACAUCCGAUCAAGGCCCAGAAAAUCUGAGAAAAUAAAAACACAAAGUUCCUUCAACAAAGCACGAAUUAAUAAAAGAUAAGGUAAGAUAAAAUAAAAUAAUUUUAUUUAUGCCUCCCCCA
RNAcentral lists this long non-coding RNA (349 nucleotides) under Monodelphis domestica (gray short-tailed opossum). RNAcentral's name for it is "lncRNA (ENSMODG00000048146.1)". The record is from RNAcentral. Lineage: Eukaryota; Metazoa; Chordata; Mammalia; Didelphimorphia; Didelphidae.